UUUGAGCUGGUGGAGGUAAAAGUGAUAUCUAUAUUUUAUGAGUUUGGAGGGGCCGGCGCCCAUUAUAACUUCACAGCUAAGCAGCCUGAGGAGCAACAUUCUGCUGAUGCCGACAGUACCAAGCUAUUCUUCUCUGAAGUCCACCUGAAUUUUCGGAGUGAGAAUGACGUGAUUAUUUGCUGUAUAGUUGGGGAAAAUGACGCAGGGCGUUGCUAUGGCUGUGAAAACUACCAGCCUGUUGUUCACCCAAGCAGCCAAGCAUAUGGCGGUGGUAGUAGUACUUGUAUUGACUAUCCUGGUUCGGACGGCGAUAGCGACAGCGACUAG
This 327-nucleotide ribosomal RNA is filed under the name Triticum aestivum (bread wheat). RNAcentral describes it as "partial small subunit ribosomal RNA". Lineage: Eukaryota; Viridiplantae; Streptophyta; Magnoliopsida; Poales; Poaceae. The record is from RNAcentral.